GACGAACGCUGGCGGCGUGCUUAACACAUGCAAGUCGAACGGAAAGGCCCGGCUUUUGUGGGGUGCUCGAGUGGCGAAAGGGGGAGAAACACGUGAGUAACCUGCCCUUGACUUUGGGAUAACUUCUGGAAACUGGGGCUAAUACCGCAUAGGAGCUCUUGCUGCACGGUGGGGGUUGGGAAGUUUGGGCGGUUGGGGAUGGACUCGCGGCUUAGCAGCUUGUUGGUCGGGUUGUGGCUUACCAAGGCGUCGACGGGUAGCCGGCCUGAGAGGGGGACCGGCGACAUGGCGCAUAAGAUACGGCCCAGAAGCCUACGGGAGGCAUCAGUGGGGAGUAUUACACAGAGGGCGGGAGCCUGAGGCAGCGACGCCGGGUGCGGGAUGACGGCCUUCGUGUGAUAAACCGCUUUCGCCUGGGACGAAGCGUGAGUGACGGUAAUGGGUAAAGAAGCACCGGCUAACUACGUG
Molecule: ribosomal RNA, 468 nt
Filed under: uncultured bacterium
Lineage: Bacteria
Description: partial 16S ribosomal RNA
Rfam family: Bacterial small subunit ribosomal RNA
Source: RNAcentral